RNAcentral lists this ribosomal RNA (485 nucleotides) under uncultured bacterium. Its description in RNAcentral is "bacterial SSU rRNA". It matches the Rfam family "Bacterial small subunit ribosomal RNA", at positions 15 to 518 of the family's 1533-position model. The record is from RNAcentral.
GAUCAUGGCUCAGGAUGAACGCUGGCGGCGUGCUUAACACAUGCAAGUCGAACGGUAAGGCCCCUUCGGGGGUACACGAGUGGCGAACGGGUGAGUAACACGUGGGCAAUCUGCCCCUGUCUCCGGGAUAACUCAGGGAAACUUGAGCUAAUACCGGAUACUCCGCGAAGAUCGCAUGGUCUUCUCGGGAAAGCUCCGACGGACAGGGAUGAGCCCGCGGCCCAUUAGCUUGUUGGUAGGGUAAUGGCCUACCAAGGCGACGAUGGGUAGCCGAGCUGAGAGGCUGAUCGGCCACACUGGGACUGAGACACGGCCCAGACUCCUACGGGAGGCAGCAGUGGGGAAUUUUGCGCAAUGGGCGAAAGCCUGAACGCAGCAACGCCGCGUGCGGGACGAAGGCCUUCGGGUUGUAAACCGCUUUCAGCAGGGAUGAAACUGACAGUACCUGCAGAAGAAGCCCCGGCUAACUACGUGCCAGCCGCCGC